CAAGCCGAAUCACGAUGAGAUCGCUCUGCUUUUUUUAGAGAAUCUCUCUUCAAUUAUGCGCCUCACCCAUUGGUGUUCUUAUCAUCUUCAUCGUUGUGCUGUAUUGCUAUUCUGCACAGCUAUUCUUCUCCUUUGGUGCUUCUCACUCAAUUAUUGCUCUGCUUCUUCUCAAGCGCACUACUCCUAGCAAGUCUCUCUCUAUUUUUGUGCUCUCUCUCUCUCUCACACAUUCUUGUCUCUCUGUUACUGGUUCUUCUUCUCAGGCUCAUCAGUCUCAUAUGUCACAUCUCCAAUUUCUUUGCUUCCAAACAUGGACGCUUCUCAGGCGGUUUCAGAUAACUGAGAAGAUCCACAUCAUCAAUGGAAAGAUUUGAAUUGCUUAACUCUUAUUUGACAUGUUUGUGUGCGGUGAUAUCUCCAUGCAUGUUCAUGGCAGAUUGGCUUCUCCAAUUUUCUUACUUCCAAGCAGUUGGCUAACUUGAAUUAUAUGCAGACCAUUUUGAGUUUAUGUGCAGGUUCUUUAAAUUUAUGGGAAAUUGGCUUCACUCGUAUUCCCAUGCACUUUCUUUGCUUCCAAAUAGUUGAAUUUCUUCAGGUCCAGAAAUAAAUCUAAUUGCACGUUAUUUUGAGCUUGCUGGCUCUGAUUGGUUUGUACGUGUGUGAUUUCUUCAUUCUCCAAAUUAAAAAACCAUCAAAGGCAUGACGACAUGAUUCUGUAGAUCGAAUAAAGUUUAUGUGCAGGUUCUUUAAAUUUAUGGGAAAUUGGCUUCACUCGUAUUCCCAUGCACUUUCUUUGCUUCCAAAUAGUUGAAUUUCUUCAGGUCCAGAAAUAAAUCUAAUUGCACGUUAUUUUGAGCUUGCUGGCUUUGAUUGGUUUGUACGUGUGUGAAUUCUUCGUUCUCCAAAUUAAAAAAACUAUCAAAGGCAUCACGACAUGAUUCAAUAGACCGAAUAAAGAUGACAACCAUUGGAGAAAGUGUUUUAACAAAUCUUGUCCAAAGAUUUGUGGAUGCAACACUUGAGGAAGCUAACUACUUAUGUUGCUUCAAGACUCAUGUUGAGAGCUUUGAGAAGAAAAAGAAACAAUUGGAAGCAAAACGAAACACAAUGCUAGAGUAGAGGAGAUUGAAGAUGUUAGAAAAAGAAAUGAGAAUAAAGAUGUUGCUGAAGUUCAGCAAUGGAUAGAUGAUGCUAAUGAUGUCAUUCAAAUAGACACAAAAAAAAGAAGAAAUGGUUUUGUGGUUGGUGUCCUAAUUGCAUUUGGCAAUAUCAACAAGGGAAGAUGUUGGCAAACAAGAUGAAUGAUGCCACAAAUCUCAUUGAAAGUUGUAAAUUUGAUAAAGUGGCACGUCCAGCUGAUCAUCUAGGCAUAUGCUCUAUUAUUUCAACAAAUUUUAUGGAUUUUGAAAGUAGAAAGUCAAAAUCCAAAGAAUUGGUUAAAGCAUUGGAGAAUGGAAAUUAUUACAUAAUCGGAUUGCAGGGCUUAGGGGGCACAGGUAAAACUACACUUGUUACACAAGCAGGAAAACAAGUUGAAGAAUCUAAAGCAUUUCACAAAGUCAUCUUCACAGUUGUGUCUAAUCCUCCAAAUAUCAAGAAGAUUCAACAAAACAUUGCAAUGCAAUUAGAUUUGCCAUUAGAGGAAGGAAAGGAAGAAAAACACUCAGAGGACUUAUGGAAGAGGAUUGUUAAUAUUAAAGGGAAGAUACUUAUAAUACUAGAUGACGUUUGGGAAAAGCUAGAUCUUAGAGGCAUAGGGAUUCCCAAUGGUCUUGAUCAGAAGAAUUGUUGUGUUUUGAUAACCACACGUGAUACCAAAGUUUGUGAAGUAAUGAGAUGCCAUUUAAUAAUUGCACUACAAACUUUAAAUGAAGUGGAUGCAUUGAAUCUUUUCAAAGAAAAUGCUGGAUUAGAAAGUGAUAAUUCUUCCAAAUUGGGUGUGGCAAGAGAAAUUGUGAAGGAGUGUGGAGGACUACCACUUGCAAUUGUGACAGUAGCAACAACAUUGAAAGGUUGGAAUCUACGAGAUUGGAAGAAUGCUUUGAAAACCUUGCAAAACUCUGGACCAUUGCAAAAUAUUCAUCAAGACUUGGUAAAGGUUUAUAGAAGCAUGGAGUUAAGCUAUAACUAUCUUGGGGUUGAAGCCCAAAAACUCCUCUUGUUAUGCUCUCUCUUUCCAGAGGAUUAUGAAAUUCCUAUAUCCCUUUUGAGCAAACUUGGUGUAGGAUUGGGCCUUUUUGGGGAAGCUGACAACUACUCUUCAGCAAGAAGAAAAGUGAUUCCUGUAAAAAAUGACCUUAUUAAAUCUUCAUUGUUAUUGGAGCCUAAGGAAAGUUGUGUGAAGACGCAUGACUUAGUUCGUGAAGUGGCCUUAUGAAUAGCAGACAGUGAGGUGCAAGUGAUCAUAAAUCUAAGGACGAAAUUAAAGCCAAACUUGAAAUUUUUGUUUUGGAGUAAUAAUGACUUUCCCAAUUGUUUUGAUGGUGCAAACCUUGAGAUUUUGAUACUUUGGAUAAAAGGAGAAGUUAAGGUGAAAGAUUCAUCUGCAAUAUUUGGUGAGAUGGACAAACUUAGAAUUUUGUAUAUGCUUUAUGACGAAACUAAGGUAUAUUUCAAUCUAUCAAUACAAUUGCUUCUUUCAUUAAAGAAUAUUCGAACUCUCAUCCUUGUUGGUUGGAAACUAGGUGACAUCUCUAUUUUGAAAAAUUUGCAAAGCCUUGAGACUCUUGAGCUGGAAAAUUGUUUAAUAUUUGAAUUACCAAAAAAAAUUAGGGAAAUAAAGAAGUUAAGAUUGUUGGGUUUAAGAAAAUGUAAAAUUAAAAAUAACAAUCCUUUUGAAGUGAUUGGAAGAUGCUCACAAUUGGAAGAAUUGUAUUUUGUUGAGAAUUAUAAUGUCAAAGAUUGGAAGCGGGGAGAUGACAAAGAAAUUGUUGGUGAAAUUGCUUGGCAAAUGUAUUCUAUUGCUUCGCCUGGUUUUAAAUGUUUUGCUGAUGAUGAUAAUGGCAUGUCAAAUUGCUUUAAACCAGAACUCAUUAAGAAUUUAAUAUCAAAAGCCAUGUUAAAGUACUUAGUAGGAAGAGCAGAAGUUCUUGAGUUGGGAAACAUUGGGCAAACAGGAUGGAAAUGUCUAGUCCCUGACAUUAUUCCUAUGAAAGUUGAACUCGUGAAUAAUUUGACUAAGCUUUAUUUGUAUGAAUGGGCUGACAUUGAGUGCCUUAUUGAUGUUAGUAAGAAUCAUUCUUAUUCUAACGUGCUUGUCUUUUCUGACUUGGUUGAGUUGCAUCUAGAUGGUGUGGAUGUAAAAGAAUUAUAUCAGGGUGAUGUGUCUUCUAGCUUUUUCAGCCAGUUGCAGAUUUUAAAGUUAAAGAAGUGUAAGAAACUAGACAAUAUAUUCUUAGAUGAAAGUCUCAAACUACCUCAUUUGAAGGUCUUGGGAUUGCAAGACUGCCCAAAGUUCCAACCAUCAAUUUUCCGACACUCUAUUGCUCAAAGUCUAAUGGAAUUGGAAGAAUUACACAUUAAUAGUUGUGGGGAGCUGCAAAGUUUAAUUGCAUAUAGUAGUUUUGGAGAAGAAAUAGUUGAUGUUGAUAAUGAAAAGAGUUAUGGAUUACUGUUUCCAAAGUUAAAAUCUCUUAAAAUUCAAGGAUGUGACAAAUUAAAAAUGGUGUCGUCAUUCCUACCUGGAGACCUUCCCAAGUUGGAAGAUUUAGAUGUAUGGGAUUGUAAGAAUCUAAAAUACAUAAUUGGUGAAUAUAGAGAUAUGGAUCAAGUUUCACUACAAGAAACUAUGCUCCCUUCACUAAUAACAGUGAGUCUUGGUCGAUUACCGAGUUUCCUUAGCAUAUUUGAAAAAUGCAAUAAAUGUAUGCCAAGGCCACUUGAAGUUUUGAAAGAAGAUUCGAAGAAUAAAGAUGAAAGCUCAGGUAAAAGAAGUGCGUUCUCAUGGGUUCAUGGGUGUUGUUUUGGGGCUCCAAUUAAAGAUACUAAUAUUGUAGUUUAUGAUGCCACGCUAAAACCCAGCACAAUCUCACAGGAAUUCUGUGCAUCAAGCAAAAGGACUGAAAUGUUUCAUACAGAGUGUCUUAUGAGACAACCAUUGAACCUACAAAAUAUAAGGCAGAUGACACUUUCGAGAUGUUCAAAAUUAAAGUCAUUGUUCAGUGUAUCCAUUGCCACAACCAUCAUGUUGGAGCAGUUGUUCAUCUAUGACUGUAAAGAAUUGAAGCACAUAAUAACAAAUGAAGUAGAGGGUGAUGGCUAUCCCAGCUGCAACUCCAAUUUCCCGAAACUACAGUGGCUCACAAUCUGGGCGUGCAAUAAAUUGGAAUUUAUAUUUCCAUGCACUUUUUUUGGAGGUCUGCAAAAAUUAAAAUCCAUAAAUGUUGACACCGCUCAUGAAUUGAAAUAUGUUUUUGGAAAAUGCCAUGAAGAGUGUCUAUCAAAUGAGAAUGAAAACAAGGAGCUCCACAUUGAUGUUCUUGCAUUGGAAACACUAUACCUUCACGAUGUACCAAAUAUGAGGAGCAUUUGUAUAAACAAUUAUCAAAUGGAAUGCACAUCUCAACAGAUUAUGGAAGCACCAAAGGAAAUUAAGGAGCAUAUGGAAGAUGUCACAAGUGAAGCUGCAAAGGAAUCUAAAGUACAAGAGAUUGUGAAUGUUGACAGACCACUCAUCCCAAGUGUGGGCACCCAAUAUUUUCUCAACUUCCGCAAUCUAAAAGAAAUAACAGUAAGGAUAAACAAGAAGUUGAAAAUCUCUGUUCUCUGUCUCCACAUGCAGAAGCCUAUCACAGUUGUCCAGGUUGGUUAUACGGUGCUGUGAGGAAUUAGUUAAUGUUGUUGAACAAGAUUUUAAUGGUCAUCGUCAAAUGAACUAUAGUUCCAUUUUCCCAAAACUGGAGCAUCUACAAAUCUGGAUGUGCAACAAGCUGGAGUUUAUAUUUCCUUUCUCUCUUUAUGGUGGUCUUCAAAAAUUAAAAUAUUUGCAAAUCUGGGAAGCUACUGAGUUGAAAUACAUUUUUGGAAAAUGUUAUGAUGAAGAUCAUUUAUCAAAUGAGAAUGAAAAUGAUAAGCAUCAUAUUGAUCUCUCUGCUUUGGAAGAACUGACACUUGAAGAUGUACCAAAGAUGAUAAAUAUUUGUGCAAAGAAAUAUCUGCCAUUGCCAUCUCUACGAAGCAUUCUUUUGGACGGUCUAGAGUUCAACGGAAGAUCUUUUCUUGAUUGUAUGGCUUAUUUACAAGGAAUACAAUUGAAUGUGAAAGCUCCAGAGGACAUGAAGAAGCAUAUGAAAGAUGUGACCAGUGAAGGAGUAAAGAAAUAUGAAAUACAAGAGAUUGUUAAAGUUGACAGGCCAGUCCCAACAGCGGGCUUCCAAUGUUUUCUCAAAGACAUAAGAAUAUAUAGUUGCAA
Prosopis cineraria is the source of this 5410-nucleotide RNA transcript. RefSeq lists it as uncharacterized. NCBI's taxonomy places the organism in Eukaryota, Viridiplantae, Streptophyta, Magnoliopsida, Fabales, Fabaceae. The record is from RefSeq and is a predicted model, not a curated record. The transcript is spliced from 11 exons.